CCUACGGGAGGCAGCAGUGAGGAAUAUUGGUCAAUGGGCGGAAGCCUGAACCAGCCAAGUAGCGUGCAGGAUGACGGCCCUACGGGUUGUAAACUGCUUUUAUACGGGAAUAACGCGCCUUACGUGUAGGGCUUUGCAUGUACCGUAUGAAUAAGGACCGGCUAAUUCCGUGCCAGCAGCCGCGGUAAUACGGAAGGUCCGGGCGUUAUCCGGAUUUAUUGGGUUUAAAGGGAGCGUAGGCCGCAUGUCAAGCGUGUUGUGAAAUGUCCGGGCUCAACCCGGGCCUUGCAGCGCGAACUGGCGUGCUUGAGUCAGCGGAAAGCAGGCGGAAUUCGUGGUGUAGGGGUGAAAGUGUUAGAUAUGACGAAGAACCCCGAGUGCGAAGGCAGCUUGCUGCAGCGGAACUGACGCUGAUGCUCGAAAGCGCGGGUAUCGAACAGGAUUAGAUACCCCAGUAGUC
RNAcentral lists this ribosomal RNA (460 nucleotides) under uncultured bacterium. RNAcentral describes it as "partial 16S ribosomal RNA". It matches the Rfam family "Bacterial small subunit ribosomal RNA", at positions 338 to 795 of the family's 1533-position model. The record is from RNAcentral.